Molecule: ribosomal RNA, 468 nt
Filed under: uncultured bacterium
Lineage: Bacteria
Description: partial 16S ribosomal RNA
Rfam family: Bacterial small subunit ribosomal RNA
Source: RNAcentral
GACGAACGCUGGCGGCGUGCUUAACACAUGCAAGUCGAACGGAAAGGCCCUGCUUUUGUGGGGUGCUCGAGUGGCGAACGGGUGAGUAACACGUGAGUAACCUGCCCUUGACUUUGGGAUAACUUCAGGAAACUGGGGCUAAUACCGGAUAGGAGCUCCUGCUGCAUGGUGGGGGUUGGAAAGAUUCGGCGGUUGGGGAUGGACUCGCGGCUUAUCAGCUUGUUGGUGGGGUAGUUGCUUACCAAGGCUUUGACGGGUAGCCGGCCUGAGAGGGUGACCGGCGACAUUGGGACUGAGAUACGCCGCAGACUCGUAUGGGAGGCAGCAGUGGGGAAUAUUACACAAUGGGCGGAAGCCUGAUGCAGCAACGCCGCGUGCGGGAUGACGGCCUUCGGGUUGUAAACCGCUUUCGCCUGUGACGAAGAGUGCGUGACGGUAAUGGGUAAAGAAGCACCGGCUAACUACGUG